RNAcentral lists this ribosomal RNA (497 nucleotides) under uncultured bacterium. RNAcentral's name for it is "partial 16S ribosomal RNA". It matches the Rfam family "Bacterial small subunit ribosomal RNA", at positions 28 to 507 of the family's 1533-position model. The record is from RNAcentral.
GAUGAACGCUGGCGGCGUGCCUAAUACAUGCAAGUCGAGCGAACAGACGAGGAGCUUGCUCCUCUGACGUUAGCGGCGGACGGGUGAGUAACACGUGGAUAACCUACCUAUAAGACUGGGAUAACUUCGGGAAACCGGAGCUAAUACCGGAUAAUAUAUUGAACCGCAUGGUUCAAUAGUGAAAGACGGUUUUGCUGUCACUUAUAGAUGGAUCCGCGCCGCAUUAGCUAGUUGGUAAGGUAACGGCUUACCAAGGCAACGAUGCGUAGCCGACCUGAGAGGGUGAUUGGCCACACUGGAACUGAGACACGGUCCAGACUCCUACGGGAGGCAGCAGUAGGGAAUCUUCCGCAAUGGGCGAAAGCCUGACGGAGCAACGCCGCGUGAGUGAUGAAGGUCUUCGGAUCGGAAAACUCUGUUAUUAGGGAAGAACAAAUGUGUAAGUAACUAUGCACGUCUUGACGGUACCUAAUCAGAAAGCCACGGCUAACUACGUG